This 454-nucleotide ribosomal RNA is filed under the name uncultured bacterium. Its description in RNAcentral is "bacterial SSU rRNA". It matches the Rfam family "Bacterial small subunit ribosomal RNA", at positions 340 to 786 of the family's 1533-position model. The record is from RNAcentral.
UACGGAAGGCAGCAGUGGGGAAUAUUGCACAAUGGGCGCAAGCCUGAUGCAGCCAUGCCGCGUGUAUGAAGAAGGCCUUCGGGUUGUAAAGUACUUUCAGCGGGGAGGAAGGCGAUGCGGUUAAUAACCGCGUCGAUUGACGUUACCCGCAGAAGAAGCACCGGCUAACUCCGUGCCAGCAGCCGCGGUAAUACGGAGGGUGCAAGCGUUAAUCGGAAUUACUGGGCGUAAAGCGCACGCAGGCGGUCUGUUAAGUCAGAUGUGAAAUCCCCGGGCUUAACCUGGGAACUGCAUUUUGAACUGGCAGGCUUGAGUCUUGUAGAGGGGGUAGAAUUCCAGGUGUAGCGGUGAAAUGCGUAGAGAUCUGGAGGAAUACCGGUGGCGAAGGCGGCCCCUGGGACAAGACUGACGCUCAGGUGCGAAAGCGUGGGGAGCAAACGAGGGAUUAGAUACC